Molecule: ribosomal RNA, 708 nt
Filed under: Triticum aestivum (bread wheat)
Lineage: Eukaryota; Viridiplantae; Streptophyta; Magnoliopsida; Poales; Poaceae
Description: partial small subunit ribosomal RNA
Source: RNAcentral
AUGGACUAUUCCAAAAUGGGCAGUACGAAAGCUAAGGAGAUGAUCGCGGGCAAGCGUGUGACCGUGGUUGGGUACCUAAAAUCAGCACUCGACAUUGCUGCUGAAUGUGCAGAAGUGAAUGGCACGGAGCAACCGUGUACGAAGAUAGUCCGAACAAAGCAUUGGAUCAUACCCGACUACUGCGCUUGGGGUGUCCACAUAUCAAAGUUGUAUCUGAACCGCUUCUCUGAACUCCUUAUUCACAAGCCUGGUGAAGGUUUCCUCCUGAGCCUCUUGGCCACCACCUUGACUCCAUUGCGGUGGAUAUUUUCAAAGUUCGCUGAGAGCUACUACUCCAUUCCAAUGAAGAAGUAUGACAUGGUACCUGGCCAUAGCCUUUUCGAGGCGUUGGUGACAUGCUUGAUUGCCAUCACGCCCAAAGAUCACUACAAGAGACUAGAGGAAGGUAGCAUUGUUCUGAAGAAGUCCAAGACCUUUAGUUUCUGCAAGGAAGGUGUGCUUCUUGAAGGUGAAUCUUCACCGACAAAAAGCGAUAUAGUGAUCUUUGGAACUGGAUCAAGGGGGAUCAGAAGAUCAAGGAUAUGUUCACAUCAGAAUACUUUCAGAAGAUUGCGGUUGGAUCAACAUCCACAAUUGUGCCUCUUUAUAGGGAAUGCAUCCAUCCUAAGAUUCCGCAGCUCGCAGUCAUCGGAUAUUCAGAGAGCUUAG